This 867-nucleotide ribosomal RNA is filed under the name uncultured bacterium. RNAcentral's name for it is "bacterial SSU rRNA". It matches the Rfam family "Bacterial small subunit ribosomal RNA", at positions 1 to 892 of the family's 1533-position model. The record is from RNAcentral.
CCCUUAGAGUUUGAUCCUGGCUCAGGAUGAACGCUGGCGGCGCGCCUAACACAUGCAAGUCGAACGGCACCUAUCUUCGGAUGGAAGCGAGUGGCGAACGGCUGAGUAACACGUGGAGAACCUGCCCCCUCCCCCGGGAUAGCCGCCCGAAAGGACGGGUAAUACCGGAUACCCCGGGGUGCCGCAUGGCACCCCGGCUAAAACCCCGACGGGAGGGGAUGGCUCCGCGGCCCAUCAGGUAGACGGCGGGGUGACGGCCCACCGUGCCGACAACGGGUAGCCGGGUUGAGAGACCGACCGGCCAGAUUGGGACUGAGACACGGCCCAGACUCCUACGGGAGGCAGCAGUGGGGAAUCUUGCGCAAUGGGGGGAACCCUGACGCAGCGACGCCGCGUGCGGGACGGAGGCCUUCGGGUCGUAAACCGCUUUCAGCAGGGAAGAGUCAAGACUGUACCUGCAGAAGAAGCCCCGGCUAACUACGUGCCAGCAGCCGCGGUAAUACGUAGGGGGCGAGCGUUAUCCGGAUUCAUUGGGCGUAAAGCGCGCGUAGGCGGCCCGGCAGGCCGGGGGUCGAAGCGGGGGGCUCAACCCCCCGAAGCCCCCGGAACCUCCGCGGCUUGGGUCCGGUAGGGGAGGGUGGAACACCCGGUGUAGCGGUGGAAUGCGCAGAUAUCGGGUGGAACACCGGUGGCGAAGGCGGCCCUCUGGGCCGAGACCGACGCUGAGGCGCGAAAGCUGGGGGAGCGAACAGGAUUAGAUACCCUGGUAGUCCCAGCCGUAAACGAUGGACGCUAGGUGUGGGGGGACGAUCCCCCCGUGCCGCAGCCAACGCAUUAAGCGUCCCGCCUGGGGAGUACGGCCGCAAG